GGUCAUCAAAAGGUCUCAGGGCCUGGAUGAGAUUUUGGCCCGUUUGGACCCUCAGACUGCCAGCAACCACUUUGCAGCCAUUCAGCGCUGGAAAACAAAGAGAGACGUGGCCUGUCCACGGAGAGGAGCGUUCCUGCUGUUUUCUCAGAAGAAGCUGGCAAAGCUAAAACAGCUUGAACUCGAAGCUCCGCCUGGUGCCACCAGAGAUCCGGCGGUACUGCAGCUCGUACAGCAGUGGCUCGACCUGGACGAAGCCGGCAGAUCGAAAUACUGCAGGAAGUCCUCCCGCUGCCCUGAACCCUCGCUGGGCUUGUUAAGGCCUGAUGUCUGCUUUGGAUCAGUGUCUGAAAACUUCCACAGCAUCACAGAGAAAUACCUGCAGAGCAGAGGCAGCGAGAGCGAAGACAGCGUGGACAC
Long non-coding RNA from Stegastes partitus (bicolor damselfish), 417 nucleotides. RefSeq lists it as uncharacterized. Lineage: Eukaryota; Metazoa; Chordata; Actinopteri; Pomacentridae. The record is from RefSeq and is a predicted model, not a curated record. The transcript has 3 exons.